AACGAACGCUGGCGGCAGGCUUAACACAUGCAAGUCGAACGCAUCCUUCGGGGUGAGUGGCAGACGGGUGAGUAACGCGUGGGAACGUGCCCUUCAGUUCGGGAUAACCCAGGGAAACUUGGGCUAAUACCGGAUACGUGCGAGAGCAGAAAGAUUUAUCGCUGAAGGAUCGGCCCGCGUCUGAUUAGCUAGUUGGUGAGGUAAUGGCUCACCAAGGCGACGAUCAGUAGCUGGUCUGAGAGGAUGAUCAGCCACACUGGGACUGAGACACGGCCCAGACUCCUACGGGAGGCAGCAGUGGGGAAUAUUGGGCAAUGGGCGCAAGCCUGAUCCAGCCAUGCCGCGUGAGUGAUGAAGGCCUUAGGGUUGUAAAGCUCUUUCGGCGGGGACGAUAAUGACGGUACCCGCAGAAGAAGCCCCGGCUAACUUCGUGCCAGCAGCCGCCGCCG
RNAcentral lists this ribosomal RNA (449 nucleotides) under uncultured bacterium. RNAcentral's name for it is "partial 16S ribosomal RNA". It matches the Rfam family "Bacterial small subunit ribosomal RNA", at positions 29 to 523 of the family's 1533-position model. The record is from RNAcentral.